UAGGGAAUCUUCGGCAAUGGGGGGAACCCUGACCGAGCAACGCCGCGUGAGUUAAGAAGGUUUUCGGAUCGUAAAGCUCUGUUGUUAAGGAAGAACGAGUGUGAGAAUGGAAAGUUCAUGCUGUGACGGUACUUAACCAGAAAGGGACGGCUAACUACGUGCCAGCAGCCGCGGUAAUACGUAGGUCCCGAGCGUUGUCCGGAUUUAUUGGGCGUAAAGCGAGCGCAGGCGGUUAGAAAAGUCUGAAGUGAAAGGCAGUGGCUCAACCAUUGUAGGCUUUGGAAACUGUUUAACUUGAGUGCAGAAGGGGAGAGUGGAAUUCCAUGUGUAGCGGUGAAAUGCGUAGAUAUAUGGAGGAACACCGGUGGCGAAAGCGGCUCUCUGGUCUGUAACUGACGCUGAGGCUCGAAAGCGUGGGGAGCGAACAGG
RNAcentral lists this ribosomal RNA (429 nucleotides) under Verrucomicrobiota bacterium. Its description in RNAcentral is "Verrucomicrobia bacterium partial 16S ribosomal RNA". It matches the Rfam family "Bacterial small subunit ribosomal RNA", at positions 355 to 776 of the family's 1533-position model. Lineage: Bacteria; Pseudomonadati; Verrucomicrobiota. The record is from RNAcentral.